Molecule: ribosomal RNA, 259 nt
Filed under: uncultured Pseudomonas sp.
Lineage: Bacteria; Pseudomonadati; Pseudomonadota; Gammaproteobacteria; Pseudomonadales; Pseudomonadaceae
Description: partial 16S ribosomal RNA
Rfam family: Bacterial small subunit ribosomal RNA
Source: RNAcentral
GUCAGCUCGUGUCGUGAGAUGUUGGGUUAAGUCCCGUAACGAGCGCAACCCUUGUCCUUAGUUACCAGCACAUUAUGGUGGGCACUUUAAGGAGACUGCCGGUGACAAACCGGAGGAAGGUGGGGAUGACGUCAAGUCAUCAUGGCCCUUACGGCCUGGGCUACACACGUNNUCCAAUGGUCGNUACAGAGGGUUGCCAAGCCGCGAGGUGGAGCUAAUNUCACAAAACCGAUCGUAGUCCGGAUCGCAGUCUGCAACU